Non-coding RNA from Pantherophis guttatus, 487 nucleotides. NCBI's taxonomy places the organism in Eukaryota, Metazoa, Chordata, Lepidosauria, Squamata, Colubridae. The record is from RefSeq and is a predicted model, not a curated record.
UAUUGCUGAAGAAGGAAUGCAGAAUUUCUUCAUUCAAAUACAGAAGAUAAACUGUUUCCAACGCAGGACAGUGCUUCAUUAGAUGGCGAAGAAACAAGAUGGCAUCAAUGAAGGAAGCAUUGUUACACACAGGAAGAAAAGUUACUAUUAAAUUAAAAUAAAACGGUAGGAGGUGGAGAAGGAAAGAUAAGUCAUAGAAAAAGAAAAAAGAUUGGAAAAAGGAAAAGGAGAGGAAGAUUGGCGAAAUUAGGAGAGAAAGAAGCCCAACUGCAUCCAAGAGGCCUACCCAAGAGACCAGAGGCCCAUUGAAAUGAGGUCAAUAGGCUAGAGAUGAUGGCAAUGCUACUGUUCUCCUGAAGAAGGCAAAGUCAAAGAGCAAAAAGGGUUUCCCUUCAAGGAAUAAAAUUAUUUUCACUUAAGAAAAAAGUCAACCUACCUAAUUGGUUCCAUCAAUUCAAUUACAAAUAAUAAACAUGAUUGGAAAAUG